UGAGAGUAGCUGAAAGGUACUAUACGAAUAAGCACCGGCUAACUCCGUGCCAGCAGCCGCGGUAAUACGGAGGGUGCAAGCGUUAUCCGGAUUUAUUGGGUUUAAAGGGUCCGUAGGCGGAUCUGUAAGUCAGUGGUGAAAUCUCACAGCUUAACUGUGAAACUGCCAUUGAUACUGCAGGUCUUGAGUGUUGUUGAAGUAGCUGGAAUAAGUAGUGUAGCGGUGAAAUGCAUAGAUAUUACUUAGAACACCAAUUGCGAAGGCAGGUUACUAAGCAACAACUGACGCUGAUGGACGAAAGCGUGGGGAGCGAACAGGAUUAGAUACCCUGGUAGUCCACGCCGUAAACGAUGCUAACUCGUUUUUGGUUUUUCGGAAUCAGAGACUAAGCGAAAGUGAUAAGUUAGCCACCUGGGGAGUACGUUCGCAAGAAUGAAACUCAAAGGAAUUGACGGGGGCCCGCACAAGCGGUGGAUUAUGUGGUUUAAUUCGAUGAUACGCGAGGAACCUUACCAAGGCUUAAAUGGGAAAUGACAGGUUUAGAAAUAGACUUUUCUUCGGACAUUUUUCAAGGUGCUGCAUGGUUGUCGUCAGCUCGUGCCGUGAGGUGUUAGGUUAAGUCCUGCAACGAGCGCAACCCCUGUCACUAGUUGCCAUCAUUAAGUUGGGGACUCUAGUGAGACUGCCUACGCAAGUAGAGAGGAAGGUGGGGAUGACGUCAAAUCAUCACGGCCCUUACGCCUUGGGCCACACACGUAAUACAAUGGCCAGUACAGAGGGCAGCUACACGGUGACGUGAUGCAAAUCUCGAAAGCUGGUCUCAGUUCGGAUUGGAGUCUGCAACUCGACUCUAUGAAGCUGGAAUCGCUAGUAAUCGCGCAUCAGCCAUGGCGCGGUGAAUACGUUCCCGGGCCUUGUACACACCGCCCGUCAAGCCAUGG
RNAcentral lists this ribosomal RNA (941 nucleotides) under Chryseobacterium lactis. RNAcentral describes it as "bacterial SSU rRNA". It matches the Rfam family "Bacterial small subunit ribosomal RNA", at positions 459 to 1407 of the family's 1533-position model. The record is from RNAcentral. Lineage: Bacteria; Pseudomonadati; Bacteroidota; Flavobacteriia; Flavobacteriales; Weeksellaceae.